Molecule: ribosomal RNA, 271 nt
Filed under: uncultured soil bacterium
Lineage: Bacteria
Description: partial 16S ribosomal RNA
Rfam family: Bacterial small subunit ribosomal RNA
Source: RNAcentral
AGAACGAACGCUGGCGGCAUGCCUAAUACAUGCAAGUCGAACGAACUCUUCGGAGUUAGUGGCGCACGGGUGCGUAACGCGUGGGAAUCUGCCCCUUGGUUCGGAAUAACAGUUGGAAACGACUGCUAAUACCGGAUGAUGACGAAAGUCCAAAGAUUUAUCGCCAAGGGAUGAGCCCGCGUAGGAUUAGCUAGUUGGUGAGGUAAAGGCUCACCAAGGCAACGAUCCUUAGCUGGUCUGAGAGGAUGAUCAGCCACACGUGGGACUGAGA